AUUGAACGCUGGCGGCAGGCCUAACACAUGCAAGUCGAGCGGAGCGGCGGACGGGUGAGUAAUGCCUAGGAAUCUGCCUGGUAGUGGGGGAUAACGUCCGGAAACGGGCGCUAAUACCGCAUACUAUCAGAUGAGCCUAGGUCGGUGUAGCUAGUUGGUGGGUUAAAGGCCUACCAGGGCGACGAUCCGUAACUGGUCUGAGAGGAUGAUCAGUCACACUGGAACUGGGACACGUUCCAGACUCCUACGGGAGGAAGCAGUGGGGAAUAUUGGAAAAGGGGCGAAAGCCUGAUGCAGCCAUGCCGCGUGUGGGAAGAAGGUCUUCGGUUUGUAAAGCACUUUAAGUUGGGAGGCGUUACCAGCAGAGUAAGCACCGGCUAACUUCGUGCCAGCAGCCGCGGUAAUAC
This 407-nucleotide ribosomal RNA is filed under the name uncultured bacterium. RNAcentral describes it as "partial 16S ribosomal RNA". It matches the Rfam family "Bacterial small subunit ribosomal RNA", at positions 30 to 526 of the family's 1533-position model. The record is from RNAcentral.